AGAGUUUGAUCCUGGCUCAGAUUGAACGCUGGCGGCAGGCCUAACACAUGCAAGUCGAGCGGUAGCACAGAGAGCUUGCUCUCGGGUGACGAGCGGCGGACGGGUGAGUAAUGUCUGGGAAACUGCCUGAUGGAGGGGGAUAACUACUGGAAACGGUAGCUAAUACCGCAUAACGUCGCAAGACCAAAGAGGGGGACCUUCGGGCCUCUUGCCAUCAGAUGUGCCCAGAUGGGAUUAGCUAGUAGGUGGGGUAACGGCUCACCUAGGCGACGAUCCCUAGCUGGUCUGAGAGGAUGACCAGCCACACUGGAACUGAGACACGGUCCAGACUCCUACGGGAGGCAGCAGUGGGGAAUAUUGCACAAUGGGCGCAAGCCUGAUGCAGCCAUGCCGCGUGUAUGAAGAAGGCCUUCGGGUUGUAAAGUACUUUCAGCGGGGAGGAAGGCGAUAAGGUUA
RNAcentral lists this ribosomal RNA (456 nucleotides) under Klebsiella pneumoniae. RNAcentral describes it as "bacterial SSU rRNA". It matches the Rfam family "Bacterial small subunit ribosomal RNA", at positions 8 to 462 of the family's 1533-position model. Lineage: Bacteria; Pseudomonadati; Pseudomonadota; Gammaproteobacteria; Enterobacterales; Enterobacteriaceae. The record is from RNAcentral.